RNAcentral lists this ribosomal RNA (531 nucleotides) under uncultured Variovorax sp. RNAcentral's name for it is "bacterial SSU rRNA". It matches the Rfam family "Bacterial small subunit ribosomal RNA", at positions 207 to 725 of the family's 1533-position model. Lineage: Bacteria; Pseudomonadati; Pseudomonadota; Betaproteobacteria; Burkholderiales; Comamonadaceae. The record is from RNAcentral.
CAAGACCUUGCGCNAAUGGANCGGCCGAUGGCAGAUUAGGAUAGUUGGUNAGGUUAAAGGCUCACCAAAGCCUUCGAAUCUGUAGCUGGUCUGAGAGGACGACCAGCCACNCUGGGANUNANACUCGGCCCAGACUCCUACGGGAGGCAGCAGUGNGGAAUUUUGGACAAUGGGCGCAAGCCUGAUCCAGCCAUGCCGCGUGCAGGAUGAAGGCCUUCNGGUUGUAAACUGCUUUUGUACGGAACGAAACGGCCUUUUCUAAUAAAGAGGGCUAAUGACGGUACCGUAAGAAUAAGCACCGGCUAANUACGUGCCAGCAGCCGCGGUAAUACGUAGGGUGCAAGCGUUAAUCGGAAUUACUGGGCGUAAAGCGUGCGCAGGCGGUAAUGUAAGACAGUUGUGAAAUCCCCGGGCUCAACCUGGGAACUGCAUCUGUGACUGCAUUGCUGGAGUACGGCAGAGGGGGAUGGAAUUCCGCGUGUAGCAGUGAAAUGCGUAGAUAUGCGGAGGAACACCGAUGGCGAAGGCAAU